ACAUGCAAGUCGAGGGGCAGCAUGAUUGAAGCUUGCUUCAAUUGAUGGCGACCGGCGCACGGGUGAGUAACGCGUAUCCAACCUUCCGUACACUCAGGGAUGGCCUUUCGAAAGAAAGAUUAAUACCUGAUGGUAUGAUGAGAUUGCAUGAUAGCAUCAUUAAAGAUUUAUCGGUGUACGAUGGGGAUGCGUUCCAUUAGGUAGUAGGCGGGGUAACGGCCCACCUAGCCUACGAUGGAUAGGGGUUCUGAGAGGAAGGUCCCCCACAUUGGAACUGAGACACGGUCCAAACUCCUACGGGAGGCAGCAGUGAGGAAUAUUGGUCAAUGGACGAGAGUCUGAACCAGCCAAGUAGCGUGAAGGAUGAAGGUCUUACGGAUUGUAAACUUCUUUUAUAAGGGAAUAAAACCUCCCACGUGUGGGAGCUUGUAUGUACCUUAUGAAUAAGCAUCGGCUAACUCCGUGCCAGCAGCCGCGGUAAUACGGAGGAUGCGAGCGUUAUCCGGAUUUAUUGGGUUUAAAGGGAGCGCAGACGGGUCGUUAAGUCAGCUGUGAAAGUUUGGGGCCCAACCUUAAAAUUGCAGUUGAUACCGGCGUCCUUGAGUGCGGUUGAGGUGUGCGGAAUUCGUGGUGUAGCGGUGAAAUGCUUAGAUAUCACGAAGAACUCCGAUUGCGAAGGCAGCACACUAAGCCGUAACUGACGUUCAUGCUCGAAAGUGUGGGUAUCAAACAGGAUUAGAUACCCUGGUAGUCCACACGGUAAACGAUGGAUACUCGCUGUUGGCGAUAUACGGUCAGCGGCUUAGCGAAAGCGUUAAGUAUCCCACCUGGGG
RNAcentral lists this ribosomal RNA (833 nucleotides) under uncultured bacterium. RNAcentral describes it as "bacterial SSU rRNA". It matches the Rfam family "Bacterial small subunit ribosomal RNA", at positions 53 to 878 of the family's 1533-position model. The record is from RNAcentral.